UGGGGAAUAUUGGACAAUGGGCGAAAGCCUGAUCCAGCCAUGCCGCGUGUGUGAAGAAGGUCUUCGGAUUGUAAAGCACUUUAAGUUGGGAGGAAGGGCAGUAAGCGAAUACCUUGCUGUUUUGACGUUACCGACAGAAUAAGCACCGGCUAAUUCUGUGCCAGCAGCCGCGGUAAUACAGAGGGUGCAAGCGUUAAUCGGAUUUACUGGGCGUAAAGCGCGCGUAGGUGGUUCGUUAAGUUGAAUGUGAAAGCCCCGGGCUCAACCUGGGAACUGCAUCCAAAACUGGCGAGCUAGAGUAGGGCAGAGGGUGGUGGAAUUUCCUGUGUAGCGGUGAAAUGCGUAGAUAUAGGAAGGAACACCAGUUGCGAAGGCGACCACCUGGGCUCAUACUGACACUGAGGUGCGAAAGCGUGGGGAGCAAACAGG
Molecule: ribosomal RNA, 429 nt
Filed under: Pseudomonadota bacterium
Lineage: Bacteria; Pseudomonadati; Pseudomonadota
Description: Proteobacteria bacterium partial 16S ribosomal RNA
Rfam family: Bacterial small subunit ribosomal RNA
Source: RNAcentral